CCCUGUAUCGAAAGUGAUUAUGGUAUGACUGUUGCCAUAUUCAUUGAUAGUACAGGUAUAGUGACUUUUGAAAGCUUUUCCCGUGUUUGUUGGAACACUGUUUCCUGUCAAACCCUGUAUCUUUCAAACA
Molecule: small nucleolar RNA, 130 nt
Organism: Esox lucius (northern pike)
Lineage: Eukaryota; Metazoa; Chordata; Actinopteri; Esociformes; Esocidae
Gene: SNORA71
Rfam family: Small nucleolar RNA SNORA71
About the family: The members of this family belong to the H/ACA class of snoRNAs which bind a number of proteins (including dyskerin, Gar1p and Nop10p) to form snoRNP complexes. This class of snoRNAs are thought to guide the sites of modification of uridines to pseudouridines by forming direct base pairing interactions with substrate RNAs. This family includes U71 (SNORA71), ACA39 (SNORA39) and ACA60 (SNORA60).
Source: Ensembl